AAAAACCUAGAAGCUUUCUACUCUGACAUUUCCGAACGUCAAGCCAAGUUAAAGAUGUUUCUGAUUUGGAUGAACGAGAGAGCGAGAUAAAGUGAGACACACACACACACAGUAUCUAGAAGGUGGAGUGUGUUUUGACCAAUGAGCUACAGAAACACGCACAAACGCACAGUUUCCUUCUCGUAGUCAGGUCCGUUAGUCGGUUUUAGACUGAAACCCGGUGUAAAUUGCUCUGUGAGCUCCGUUUAGUGCUCGUGUUGCGGCAGCACUAUGGUCUCGAGUGUUCUGUGGAUCUCGGUUGCGACGCUGGCGUUUCUGCGCCUCGCGGAGACAGGUUCUGAGUAUGCGUUGCUGCAUGAAGGAGAAAAAUGUGGAGAAUACGACCAGGGCAGGUGCGAAUCCGGUCUCAUCUGCGUGCCUGACAAUCCCGAGCCCGAGUUAUUCAACGCAGUAGGAGUGUGCACCAGGGUUCCGGGUUGUAACUGCCUCCGAGUUCCAGUGUUUGCCGAGGCAAGGCUGUCGAGGUCGUCAGGUGAUCGAUCCGUGCGGGUGUUGUACACACUGCGCCAAGACAAAGGGGCAGGUGUGCGGCGGGCCGAGCUGGAGAUACGGUAACUGUGAUCCGGAUUUGGUUUGCGCUCUUGUCGUGGGGCUCGAUUCGGCCAGACCUCCACAGACGGGCGUGUGCAAAGCUUUCUUGAUGUAUGACUUUUAUGCCAACGACAUGGAAACGCCUCCCAAACCCGAGGUACCUGCAUAUGAGUGUAAGGAGUGGAGCUGUGAGGUUCAGGCCUGCGAGUGUGUGUGUCAAUAUAGAAAAUGUGUCUACAGGUUAGCUCCACUUAACGAGGCCGCCUGCUGCGACGUACUGAAGGAAUCUGGGUGCCUUAAUACGUCGUGUCCUGGGACUCCCACUCUGGCUUGUCCGGCAGACUCCUUCAUUAGUGAGCCCCACACCGAACCCGGUCACUGCUGCCCUGUUGUGCCUGCUAUGUGCACCUGCGACUUCCAGACCUGCACUCCAAAACCCACAUACUGCCCUAACCGCGGACUUCCCCGACUCCUUGUGAAGGGAAACGGCCACCCGGGGACCUGCUGCGACCGCUACGAGUGUGUGAAAGAAGGAGAUUAAUUAGCAUGUGUAAUAUAAUACACACUUUUAUCUUAUUAUCCUUGUGAAACUAACCGUAACCUCACUAACCGUAACCUUAACCUCAGUAACCAAAAGGAAACAUUUCGGCUCUGGUAGAUUUAUUUUUCAUUUCAGGCAAACACCUUGCUGUUUCAUGUAAUGCUCAGAAUGCUUGAUGUGCAAAAAAAUCUGGAAUGUACUCAACAAUAAAAGAAAUAUUUACAGGAAGAAA
Long non-coding RNA from Ictalurus punctatus (channel catfish), 1364 nucleotides. NCBI's taxonomy places the organism in Eukaryota, Metazoa, Chordata, Actinopteri, Siluriformes, Ictaluridae. The record is from Ensembl.